AUCCAGCUGACGAGUCCCAAAAAGGACGAAGUCGCGCGCGUCCUGGAU
Molecule: non-coding RNA, 48 nt
Organism: Schistosoma mansoni
Lineage: Eukaryota; Metazoa; Platyhelminthes; Trematoda; Strigeidida; Schistosomatidae
Source: Rfam